This 191-nucleotide ribosomal RNA is filed under the name uncultured bacterium. RNAcentral's name for it is "partial 16S ribosomal RNA". It matches the Rfam family "Bacterial small subunit ribosomal RNA", at positions 1309 to 1500 of the family's 1533-position model. The record is from RNAcentral.
AACCCGCCUGCAUGAAGUUGGAAUCGCUAGUAAUCGCGGAUCAGCAUGCCGCGGUGAAUACGUUCCCGGGCCUUGUACACACCGCCCGUCACACCAUGAGAGUCGGGAACACCCGAAGUCCGUAGCCUGACCGCAAGGGGGCGCGGCCGAAGGUGGGUUCGAUAAUUGGGGUGAAGUCGUAACAAGGUAUC